AAGUCGUAACAAGGUUUCCGUAGGUGAACCUGCGGAAGGAUCAUUAUCACAUGAAUCCAUGUAUAAACCAUUUCGUGAACUGUUAAAAACAAACUGUUAUGUGCUCAGUAUAUAUAAUUUGUUAGUUACGCUGGUGUCGAUGUGUUCGGCCAGCGCUUAGGUUUGGUUUGGAUGUGUUCGACCUUACUGGCUAACAAAAUCACUUGCUGAGUCUUAAUGGUAAAAACCUGUGAAACCCCUUUUAAACUUUUGAACUAACGUCUUCAUACUCCAAUAAAACGGAGAUGAAGUUUCUUACGAAACAAAGAACAACUCUUAGCAACGGAUAUCUUGGUUCUC
RNAcentral lists this unclassified non-coding RNA (339 nucleotides) under fungal sp. RNAcentral describes it as "partial internal transcribed spacer region". The stretch from base 1 to 46 matches the Rfam family "Eukaryotic small subunit ribosomal RNA", at positions 1786 to 1831 of the family's 1831-position model. Lineage: Eukaryota; Fungi. The record is from RNAcentral.